This 253-nucleotide ribosomal RNA is filed under the name uncultured bacterium. RNAcentral's name for it is "partial 16S ribosomal RNA". It matches the Rfam family "Bacterial small subunit ribosomal RNA", at positions 524 to 776 of the family's 1533-position model. The record is from RNAcentral.
UACGGAGAGUGCAAACGUUGUUCGGAUUCACUGGGCGUAAAGGGCACGUAGGCGGCUCGGCAAAUCGGUCGUGGAAUCUCGACGCUUACCGUCGAAACGGCGGCCGAAAAUACCGGGCUCGAGGGCGUGAGGGGUCACUGGAACUCCUGGUGAAGCGGUGAAAUGCGUAGAUAUCAGGAGGAACGCCGGAGGCGAAAGCGAGUGACGGGCGCGUUCCUGACGCUGAGGUGCGAAAGCUAGGGGAGCAAACAGG